AAGUUUUACAGCUCUUUUAGAAUUUGUCUAGUAUGUUUUCUGCUCUUCACCAGAGCACCCCC
Molecule: small nuclear RNA, 62 nt
Organism: Otolemur garnettii (small-eared galago)
Lineage: Eukaryota; Metazoa; Chordata; Mammalia; Primates; Galagidae
Gene: U7
Rfam family: U7 small nuclear RNA
About the family: Animal histone pre-mRNAs are spliced by a different mechanism than nuclear pre-mRNAs and self-splicing introns. This processing involves the U7 snRNP, which contains only one RNA species: U7. The 5' end of U7 RNA is thought to base-pair to a conserved spacer element downstream of the cleavage site in histone pre-mRNA.
Source: Ensembl